AGUGGCUUUGUGUGUGUGUGUGUAUGUGUGUGUGUGUGGGGGUGGGCAUAUCAUAGUUAGAGGGUCUGGGUGUCCUCCCACAGGGAAGUUUUGAGCAUCAACAACUUAAUUUCCUUUAUUCGGAU
Long non-coding RNA from Etheostoma cragini (Arkansas darter), 125 nucleotides. RefSeq lists it as uncharacterized. The transcript has 2 exons. Lineage: Eukaryota; Metazoa; Chordata; Actinopteri; Perciformes; Percidae. The record is from RefSeq and is a predicted model, not a curated record.